This 117-nucleotide ribosomal RNA is filed under the name candidate division CSSED10-310 bacterium. Lineage: Bacteria; candidate division CSSED10-310. The record is from RNAcentral.
CCCGGUGACGAUAGCGGAGGGGACCCACCCGUUUCCAUCCCGAACACGGAAGUUAAGCCCUCUUGCGCCGAUGGUACUGCAGGACAGAACCUGUGGGAGAGUAGGAAAUCGCCGGGU